GACGAACGCUGGCGGCGUGCUUAACACAUGCAAGUCGAACGGAAAGGCCCUGCUUUUGUGGGGUGCUCGAGUGGCGAACGGGUGAGUAACACGUGAGUAACCUGCCCUUGACUGUGGGAUAACUUCAGGAAACUGGGGCGAAUACCGGAUAGGAGCUCCUGCUGCAUGGUGGGGGUUGGAAAGUUUCGGCGGUUGGGGAUGGACUCGCGGCUUAUCAGCUUGUUGGUGGGGUAGUGGCUUACCAAGGCUUUGACGGGUAGCCGGCCUGAGAGGGUGACCGGCCACAUUGGGACUGAGAUACGGCCCAGACUCCUACGGGAGGCAGCAGUGGGGAAUAUUGCACAAUGGGCGGAAGCCUGAUGCAGCAACGCCGCGUGCGGGAUGACGGCCUUCGGGUUGUAAACCGCUUUCGCCUGUGACGAAGCGUGAGUGACGGUAAUGGGUAAAGAAGCACCGGCUAACUACGUG
RNAcentral lists this ribosomal RNA (468 nucleotides) under uncultured bacterium. Its description in RNAcentral is "partial 16S ribosomal RNA". It matches the Rfam family "Bacterial small subunit ribosomal RNA", at positions 28 to 507 of the family's 1533-position model. The record is from RNAcentral.